This 519-nucleotide long non-coding RNA is filed under the name Erythranthe guttata (spotted monkey flower). RNAcentral's name for it is "long non-coding RNA (EGUT_LNC001186)". Lineage: Eukaryota; Viridiplantae; Streptophyta; Magnoliopsida; Lamiales; Phrymaceae. The record is from RNAcentral.
UUGUAGACUGGGGUUGGUGGGGGUGGUGACUUGUACUUGUACCCGGAGUUGGCGGUGGUGGUGACUUGUACUUGUAGACGGGAGUGGGCGGUGGUGGCGACUUGUAUUUGUACACCGGAGUCGGCGGUGGUGGCGACUUAUACUUGUAGACGGGCGUGGGCGGUGGUGGCGACUUGUACUUGUACACCGGAGUUGGUGGUGGUGGGGACUUGUACUUGUACACCGGUGUGGGUGGUGGUGGGGACUUGUAGACGAUAAGGAGGUGGUGGUGGAGACUUGUAUAGAUACACCGGCGGCGGCGGUGGUGGGGAGCUAUAGACAUAAGGAGGAGGAGGGGAAGAGUAUUGGUAGUUAGCAUUAGCUAUUGAAGGGAAGCCAAUAGCAAAGAUUGCAACAAGCACAACUGCAAAGAGAGAGGCCAUAUUUCUUUUACUUCCCAUUUUCUUUGUGUUUAUGCUUAUGUUUUCUGUCCAACCAUCCGUCCUCUUUUUAUAGCGCAACGCUAAACUAAUCAUGGUU